UACGAAGGGGGCUAGCGUUGCUCGGAAUCACUGGGCGUAAAGGGCGCGUAGGCGGCCGAUCAAGUCGGGGGUGAAAGCCUGUGGCUCAACCACAGAAUUGCCUUCGAUACUGUUUGGCUUGAGACCGGAAGAGGUUAGUGGAACUGCGAGUGUAGAGGUGAAAUUCGUAGAUAUUCGCAAGAACACCAGUGGCGAAGGCGGCUGACUGGUCCGGUUCUGACGCUGAGGUGUGAAAGCGUGGGGAGCAAACAGG
Molecule: ribosomal RNA, 253 nt
Filed under: uncultured bacterium
Lineage: Bacteria
Description: partial 16S ribosomal RNA
Rfam family: Bacterial small subunit ribosomal RNA
Source: RNAcentral